GAGUGAUCGAAAGAUGAAAAGCACUUUGAAAAGAGAGUUAAACAGCACGUGAAAUUGUUGAAAGGGAAGCGUUUGCGACCAGACUCGCCCGCGGGGUUCAGCCGGCAUUCGUGCCGGUGUACUUCCCCGUGGGCGGGCCAGCGUCGGUUUGGGCGGCCGGUCAAAGGCCCUCGGAAUGUAUCACCUCUCGGGGUGUCUUAUAGCCGAGGGUGCAAUGCGGCCUGCCUGGACCGAGGAACGCGCUUCGGCUCGGACGCUGGCGUAAUGGUCGUAAAUGACCC
RNAcentral lists this ribosomal RNA (281 nucleotides) under Aspergillus fumigatus. Its description in RNAcentral is "partial 28S ribosomal RNA". It matches the Rfam family "Eukaryotic large subunit ribosomal RNA", at positions 351 to 650 of the family's 3401-position model. Lineage: Eukaryota; Fungi; Ascomycota; Eurotiomycetes; Eurotiales; Aspergillaceae. The record is from RNAcentral.